This 491-nucleotide ribosomal RNA is filed under the name uncultured bacterium. RNAcentral's name for it is "partial 16S ribosomal RNA". It matches the Rfam family "Bacterial small subunit ribosomal RNA", at positions 29 to 506 of the family's 1533-position model. The record is from RNAcentral.
AGUGAACGCUGGCGGUAGGCCUAACACAUGCAAGUCGAACGGCAGCACAGUAAGAGCUUGCUCUUACGGGUGGCGAGUGGCGGACGGGUGAGGAAUACAUCGGAAUCUACUUUUUCGUGGGGGAUAACGUAGGGAAACUUACGCUAAUACCGCAUACGACCUACGGGUGAAAGCAGGGGAUCUUCGGACCUUGCGCGAUUGAAUGAGCCGAUGUCGGAUUAGCUAGUUGGCGGGGUAAAGGCCCACCAAGGCGACGAUCCGUAGCUGGUCUGAGAGGAUGAUCAGCACCACGGGAACUGAGAACCGGGCCCGACCCCCACGGGGGGCAGCAGGGGGAAAUUUUGGAAAAGGGGGGAAACCCUGACCCACCCAUCCCGGGGGGGGAAAAAAGGCCUUCGGUUUGUAAAGCCUUUUUGUUGGGAAAAAAAAGAAGCAGGUUAAGACCCCGCUGUUCUGAGGGGCCCCAAAGAAUAAGCACCGGCUAAUUGCGG